This 115-nucleotide non-coding RNA is filed under the name Alkalibaculum bacchi. The record is from RNAcentral. Lineage: Bacteria; Bacillati; Bacillota; Clostridia; Eubacteriales; Eubacteriaceae.
GGUGGAGGGUCCACCGAAUUCGCCAUACAGGUGGUGAUUUCAAACUACCCUAAGGUGCUGUAGACAAAAGCUAUGGUAUUGAGCGUUAGGGAAAAGUCAGUAUAAGCUGGCAUGU